UACGGAGGAUGCAAGCGUUAUCCGGAAUGACUGGGCGUAAAGCGUCCGCAGGUGGCAAUGUAAGUCUGCUGUCAAAGCGUCUGGCUCAACCAGAUAAAGGCAGUGGAAACUACAUAGCUAGAGUAAGGUAGGGGUAGAGGGAAUUCCUGGUGUAGCGGUGAAAUGCGUAGAGAUCAGGAAGAACAUCGGUGGCGAAAGCGCUCUGCUGGACUGCAACUGACACUCAGGGACGAAAGCUAGGGGAGCGAAUGGG
Molecule: ribosomal RNA, 253 nt
Filed under: uncultured bacterium
Lineage: Bacteria
Description: partial 16S ribosomal RNA
Rfam family: Bacterial small subunit ribosomal RNA
Source: RNAcentral